CUUGACUGUAUCUUGGAAUUGGGUUCGGGCUUUUCUUGCGCAGACUAGGUGGGAGGCUAUGAAGGUUUUCUUCCGGGGAAGUUGGAGCCAACAGUGAGAGACCACUCUGGAUAGGCUAGAAUCCUAAUGGUGAUCCUUGAAUCAGGACACUUGACAGUUUCAGGUGGGCAGUUUUUCUGGGGCGGAAGCCUCAUAAAGGGUAACUGAGGCGCGCAAAGGUCCCCUCAGUCUGGACGGAAAUCAGACAACGAGUGUAAAGGCAAAAGGGGGCUUGACUGCAAGACCUACAAGGCGAGCAGGAGCGAAAGCUGGCCUUAGUGAUCCGACGGUACCGUGUGGAAGGGCCGUCGCUCAACGAAUAAAAGUUA
This 368-nucleotide ribosomal RNA is filed under the name uncultured organism. RNAcentral's name for it is "bacterial LSU rRNA". It matches the Rfam family "Bacterial large subunit ribosomal RNA", at positions 2099 to 2465 of the family's 2925-position model. The record is from RNAcentral.